Non-coding RNA from Alligator mississippiensis (American alligator), 140 nucleotides. The record is from Rfam. NCBI's taxonomy places the organism in Eukaryota, Metazoa, Chordata, Crocodylia, Alligatoridae.
GGGAGAGGAGACACCAUAAUCAACCAGGUGGUUUUCCCAGUGAGGCUUGAACCUUGCACUCUGGUCUGACCCCUGCGAUUUCCCCAAAUGUGGGAAACUCAACUGCAUAAUUUGUGGUAGUGGGGAACUGCAUCCCCCGU